GUCCGGGUGGCGGAAUUGGCAGACGCGCUAGCUUGAGGUGCUAGUGCCCUUUAUCGGGCGUGGGGGUUCAAGUCCCCCCUCGGACACCA
Molecule: transfer RNA, 89 nt
Filed under: Nocardioides sp.
Lineage: Bacteria; Bacillati; Actinomycetota; Actinomycetes; Propionibacteriales; Nocardioidaceae
Also listed under: 8 other names
Description: tRNA-Leu
Rfam family: tRNA
About the family: Transfer RNA (tRNA) molecules are approximately 80 nucleotides in length.
Source: RNAcentral